RNAcentral lists this ribosomal RNA (496 nucleotides) under uncultured bacterium. Its description in RNAcentral is "partial 16S ribosomal RNA". It matches the Rfam family "Bacterial small subunit ribosomal RNA", at positions 28 to 506 of the family's 1533-position model. The record is from RNAcentral.
GAUGAACGCUGGCGGCGUGCCUAAUACAUGCAAGUCGAGCGAACAGAUGAGGAGCUUGCUCCUCUGACGUUAGCGGCGGACGGGUGAGUAACACGUGGAUAACCUACCUAUAAGACUGGGAUAACUUCGGGAAACCGGAGCUAAUACCGGAUAAUAUAUUGAACCGCAUGGUUCAAUAGUGAAAGACGGUUUUGCUGUCACUUAUAGAUGGAUCCGCGCCGCAUUAGCUAGUUGGUAAGGUAACGGCUUACCAAGGCAACGAUGCGUAGCCGACCUGAGAGGGUGAUCGGCCACACUGGAACUGAGACACGGUCCAGACUCCUACGGGAGGCAGCAGUAGGGAAUCUUCCGCAAUGGGCGAAAGCCUGACGGAGCAGCGCCGCGUGAGUGAUGAAGGUCUUCGGAUCGUAAAACUCUGUUAUUAGGGAAGAACAAAUGUGUAAGUAACUAUGCACGUCUGGACGGUACCUAAUCAGAAAGCCACGGCUAACUACGU